GUCUAUGGCCAUACUACCCUGAAUGCACCAAUCUCGUCUGAUCUUGGAAGAUAAACAAUGUGGGACCUAGUUAGCACUUGGAAAGGAAGACU
RNAcentral lists this ribosomal RNA (92 nucleotides) under Prolemur simus (greater bamboo lemur). Lineage: Eukaryota; Metazoa; Chordata; Mammalia; Primates; Lemuridae. The record is from RNAcentral.